UUUUUAAAUUUCUUUGAGGGUGACAGCUGCUUCGCAGAUGGUUCGACUAUGAUCAUCAGGCCUAUAAGCAGUUUCAAAGUAGUUUUGAAAAGCUUGGAUUUCUUUUAUAAGCGUGUAAGUACAUUUUCUGGUCUUUUCCUGCACAAGAAGAAAAUCUUUGUCAAAAAGUUGAAUGAAAGAAGUGACAUCAUAUAAUUCUUCGAUAUAAUAUUUAG
This 215-nucleotide long non-coding RNA is filed under the name Lathyrus oleraceus (garden pea). RNAcentral describes it as "Pisum sativum (pea) long non-coding RNA (PSAT_LNC026191)". The record is from RNAcentral. Lineage: Eukaryota; Viridiplantae; Streptophyta; Magnoliopsida; Fabales; Fabaceae.